This is a long non-coding RNA of Xiphophorus couchianus (Monterrey platyfish), 501 nucleotides long. RefSeq lists it as uncharacterized. Lineage: Eukaryota; Metazoa; Chordata; Actinopteri; Cyprinodontiformes; Poeciliidae. The record is from RefSeq and is a predicted model, not a curated record. The transcript has 2 exons.
CAGAUUUAGGACUAAGGUGUGAAUUGAGUUUUGGUUAGGGUUAGAAAUGAAAGGAAGUCAAUGGAAAGUCCCCGCAAAGAUAGCUGCGCAAACAUGUGUUUGGGCGUGUGUGUGUUUGUGGGUUUACUGAAUCCUUCACAUAAAUAAGUGCCUCUAUGAUUAUAGACUUAUCUAACAAACAUAAAUUCUUAAAAAGAAGUGCUUAGAAUAUUCAUGGGAAUCAGAUUGGAAGAAUCCAAAGGUAUCUUUUCUAACAAUGACAUAGAACUAUAAACCAUUGCUGUUCUUGUUUAAAAUAUUUACAAUCAGAGAAGUAACUGAAAAAAGAUCAAUGGAAUUGUAAAAUAGUUCAAUAAUCAUUGAAGUGGUUUCCAUUGCUGUACAGGAUUCAUGUCAGGUAAAAAAAAGAAAUUAGCAAAAGCAAGAAAUGAAAUAAAAAUAGUGUUCUUAACUUACUUCAUUUGCUUUACAAUGGUGCUCUUUCCAGACUCCCCAGCACCU